UGCCUCAAGUAGCCCCGUUUGUGUCUGGAAAAUCAAAAUGAAAAUAAAAAAAGGGGGUAGCAACUUUUAUUAAAAGCUGUCAGCGUGGCAAAACCCCAAACAUAUUGCUCCGCUUGGGUUUCGCUUUUCCUCCAGUGCCAGCCAAAGUUGAAACGUCAUCGUGGCUUCAUUACGAAUUCUUCGAAUGGUCCGCACCUUUUGGUGAAAAAGUUAGCUGCCUGCGUGUUGUCCUUUGAUCAAGUUCCAUUUUGAUUCUCACCUGUCUGGCGGCCAGCAGCUGUUCUUUGAUGUCCUGUGCCGGCGACAAGGACUCAAAAGGACGAGGAUAAGCCACGAAGGAGCGCAUCAGGCAUGCAUAAAGCGAGCGCCCAAAUUAGCCCAAUUGACAACUCGCAAAAGGGUUGGCUAACUCUGUUAGAAGCAGGACAAGAGCGCAGGGAAGGAUCGGGCUAACCCUGAUAUGGAUAUUGCCACGCACAGUCCCUAAUUAGAAUCGAUUUGGCUCGAGGGAGAUCCUUUUACCCCGCGACCGCGCCAGCGACCCAUCAAAAAACAAUUAACAAUUUGAGGCACUCAAUAAAAUAUUUAAAUGCUAAAGCAAAGUG
Drosophila melanogaster (fruit fly) is the source of this 605-nucleotide non-coding RNA. NCBI's taxonomy places the organism in Eukaryota, Metazoa, Arthropoda, Insecta, Diptera, Drosophilidae. The record is from Ensembl.